Molecule: ribosomal RNA, 459 nt
Filed under: uncultured bacterium
Lineage: Bacteria
Description: partial 16S ribosomal RNA
Rfam family: Bacterial small subunit ribosomal RNA
Source: RNAcentral
AACGAACGCUGGCGGCAGGCCUAACACAUGCAAGUCGAACGUGAAGCCACCUUCGGGUGGUGGAAAGUGGCAGACGGGUGAGUAACGCGUGGGAACGUGCCUUUCGGUUCGGGAUAACCCAGGGAAACUUGGGCUAAUACCGGAUACGCCCUCCGGGGGAAAGAUUCAUUGCCGAAAGAUCGGCCCGCGUCGGAUUAGCUAGUUGGUGGGGUAAAAGCCUACCAAGGCGACGAUCCGUAGCUGGUCUGAGAGGAUGACCAGCCACACUGGGACUGAGACACGGCCCAGACUCCUACGGGAGGCAGCAGUGGGGAAUAUUGGACAAUGGGCGCAAGCCUGAUCCAGCCAUGCCGCGUGGGUGAAGAAGGCCCUAGGGUUGUAAACCCCUUUCAGCGGGGAAGAUAAUGACGGUACCCGCAGAAGAAGCCCCGGCUAACUCCGUGCCAGCAGCCGCAGUAA